RNAcentral lists this ribosomal RNA (252 nucleotides) under uncultured bacterium. RNAcentral's name for it is "partial 16S ribosomal RNA". It matches the Rfam family "Bacterial small subunit ribosomal RNA", at positions 524 to 776 of the family's 1533-position model. The record is from RNAcentral.
UACGAGGGGGCUAGCGUUGCUCGGAAUCACUGGGCGUAAAGAGCGCGCAGGCGGUCGUUCAAGUCGAGUGUGAAAGCCCCCGGCUCAACUGGGGAGGGUCACUCGAUACUGAUCGACUUGAAGGCAGGAGAGGGAAGCGGAAUUCCCGGUGUAGUGGUGAAAUGCGUAGAUAUCGGGAGGAACACCAGUGGCGAAGGCGGCUUCCUGGCCUGUUCUUGACGCUGAGGCGCGAAAGCUAGGGGAGCAAACGGG